Non-coding RNA from Triticum urartu, 135 nucleotides. Lineage: Eukaryota; Viridiplantae; Streptophyta; Magnoliopsida; Poales; Poaceae. The record is from Rfam.
CUCUUACUCCCUCCGUCCAGAAAUACUUGUCAUGAAAAUGGAUAAAAGGUGAUGUAUCUAGAUGUAUCUUAGUUCUAGAUACAUCUCUUUUUAUCCAUUUUGAUGGAAAGGAUUUUUGGACGGAGGGAUUAUGAA